GAGCUUGCUCCUCUGAUCAGUGGCGAACGGGUGAGUAACACGUGAGCAACCUGCCCCAGACUCUGGGAUAACAGUUGGAAACAGCUGCUAAUACCGGAUACGAGACGGAGAGGCAUCUCUACCGUCUGGGAAGUUUUUCGGUCUGGGAUGGACUCGCGGCCUAUCAGCUAGUUGGUGAGGUAAUGGCUCACCAAGGCGACGACGGGUAGCCGGCCUGAGAGGGCGACCGGCCACACUGGGACUGAGACACGGCCCAGACUCCUACGGGAGGCAGCAGUGGGGAAUAUUGCACAAUGGGCGAAAGCCUGAUGCAGCGACGCCGCGUGAGGGAUGACGGCCUUCGGGUUGUAAACCUCUUUCAGCAGGGAAAAAGCGAAAGUGACGGUACCUGCAGAAGAAGCACCGGCUAACUACGUGCCAGCAGCCGCGGUAAUACGUAGGGUGCGAGCGUUGUCCGGAAUUAUUGGGCGUAAAGAGCUUGUAGGCGGUUUGUCGCGUCUGCAGUGAAAAUCCGAGGCUCAACCUCGGACUUGCUGUGGGUACGGGCAGACUAGAGUAUGGUAGGGGAGACCGGAAUUCCUGGUGUAGCGGUGGAAUGCGCAGAUAUCAGGAGGAACACCGAUGGCGAAGGCAGGUCUCUGGGCCAUAACUGACGCUGAGAAGCGAAAGCAUGGGGAGCGAACAGGAUUAGAUACCCUGGUAGUCCAUGCCGUAAACGUUGGGCGCUAGGUGUGGGGCUCAUUCCACGAGCUCCGUGCCGCAGCUAACGCAUUAAGCGCC
This 780-nucleotide ribosomal RNA is filed under the name uncultured bacterium. RNAcentral's name for it is "bacterial SSU rRNA". It matches the Rfam family "Bacterial small subunit ribosomal RNA", at positions 76 to 868 of the family's 1533-position model. The record is from RNAcentral.